UUCGUUGUCAUGUAUUUUUUU
Molecule: non-coding RNA, 21 nt
Filed under: Caenorhabditis elegans
Lineage: Eukaryota; Metazoa; Nematoda; Chromadorea; Rhabditida; Rhabditidae
Source: RNAcentral